AGAGUUUGAUCCUGGCUCAGGAUGAACGCUGGCGGCGUGCUUAACACAUGCAAGUCGAACGAUUAACCCGCCCUCGGGCGGUUAUAGAGUGGCGAACGGGUGAGUAACACGUGACCAACCUGCCCCCUUCACCGGGAUAACCCAGGGAAACCUGCGCUAAUACCGGAUACUCCGCAUGGGCCGCAUGGCCCUUGCGGGAAAGCUCCGGCGGAAGGGGAUGGGGUCGCGGCCCAUUAGGUAGUUGGCGGGGUAACGGCCCACCAAGCCCGCGAUGGGUAGCCGGGUUGAGAGACCGAUCGGCCACAUUGGGACUGAGAUACGGCCCAGACUCCUACGGGAGGCAGCAGUGGGGAAUUUUGCGCAAUGGGGGAAACCCUGACGCAGCAACGCCGCGUGCGGGACGAAGGCCUUCGGGUUGUAAACCGCUUUCAGCAGGGAAUAUCGUGAAGGUACCUGCAGAAGAAGCUCCGGCUAACUACGUGCCAGCAGCCGCGGUAAUACGUAGGGAGCGAGCGUUAUCCGGAUUCAUUGGGCGUAAAGCGCGCGUAGGCGGCCCGUCAAGCGGGGUUUCAAAUCCAGGGGCUCAACCUCUGGCCGGACCCCGAACUGGCGGGCUCGAGUGCGGUAGAGGAAGGUGGAAUUCCCAGUGUAGCGGUGAAAUGCGCAGAUAUUGGGAAGAACACCGAUGGCGAAGGCAGCCUUCUGGGCCGCCACUGACGCUGAGGCGCGAAAGCUAGGGGAGCGAACAGGAUUAGAUACCCUGGUAGUCCUAGCCGUAAACGAUGGGCACUAGGUGUGGGGGAGCAUCUCCUCCGUGCCGCAGCCAACGCAUUAAGUGCCCCGCCUGGGGAGUACGGCCGCAAGGCUAAAACUCAAAGGAAUUGACGGGGGCCC
RNAcentral lists this ribosomal RNA (894 nucleotides) under uncultured Eggerthella sp. Its description in RNAcentral is "bacterial SSU rRNA". It matches the Rfam family "Bacterial small subunit ribosomal RNA", at positions 8 to 922 of the family's 1533-position model. The record is from RNAcentral. Lineage: Bacteria; Bacillati; Actinomycetota; Coriobacteriia; Eggerthellales; Eggerthellaceae.